CGGAGGAUCCAAGCGUUAUCCGGAUUUAUUGGGUUUAAAGGGUGCGUAGGCGGCUUAUUAAGUCAGGGGUGAAAGACGGUGGCUCAACCAUCGCAGUGCCCUUGAUACUGAUGAGCUUGAAUGAACUAGAGGUAGGCGGAAUGUGACAAGCAGCGGUGAAAUGCAUAGAUAUGUCACAGAACACCGAUUGCGAAGGCAGCUUACUAUGGUUUUACUUGACGCUGAGGCACGAAAGCGUGGGGAUCAAACAGGAUUAGAUACCCUGGUAGUCCACGCCCUAAACGAUGAAUACUCGCUGUUAGCGAUAUACAGUUAGCGGCUAAGCGAAAGCGUUAAGUAUUCCACCUGGGGAGUACGCCCGCAAGGGUG
RNAcentral lists this ribosomal RNA (369 nucleotides) under uncultured organism. RNAcentral describes it as "bacterial SSU rRNA". It matches the Rfam family "Bacterial small subunit ribosomal RNA", at positions 526 to 896 of the family's 1533-position model. The record is from RNAcentral.